GCCGGCGACCGGCAAACGGGUGCGGAACACGUACGCAACCUUCCUUUAAGCGGGGGAUAGCCCAGGGAAACUUGGAUUAAUACCCCAUAAGAUAGUGGGAUGGCAUCAUCCAGCUAUUAAAGCUCCGGCACUUAAAGAUGGGCGUGCGGCUGAUUAGGUAGUUGGCGGGGUAACGGCCCACCAAGCCUUCGAUCAGUAACUGGUGUGAGAGCACGACCAGUCACACGGGCACUGAGACACGGGCCCG
Molecule: ribosomal RNA, 247 nt
Filed under: uncultured bacterium
Lineage: Bacteria
Description: partial 16S ribosomal RNA
Rfam family: Bacterial small subunit ribosomal RNA
Source: RNAcentral